AGCCCUCCCUGAAUUAUCCAUCAUGAAAACAAGGAGAAUAAACACAGAGUAAGACAACAUGGGAGAGUAGAAGAGAGAAAACCAAAUAAGGAAUCUCAAAUGCAGCCUCUCCCUUGCCUCCCAACCAUUGUGAACACAGAUCUCAAUGAACAUUUUGGUGAAUAAGUACCUACUCUAUGUGAACAGAAAGGGAAAGGACAAAAGGAAAGAAAGACAAAAAGGAAAUAUGUUUGCUGUCCUCAAGGAAUUUCCAUUUAGCGGGCAUUAAACAUUCUGAUUUAUAAACAAACAUCACAUUAAAAAUAUUUAUGAAAAUAUUUAUGAAAACAAGAACAGAAAGUCCAAGAGAGGAAAAUGGAAACCAGCAGAAGGCUCUACACGUUACAUUUCCACUACAAAACUAUAGGCAACUUCUGAAGGAAAUAAGAAAAGAUAACAAGUAUUUACCCUUAACCAUGUGCCCUUUAUUCUGCUUGACAAAUGUUUAUUUUGAGCAGCAAGUACACUGAAUAAUUAGUAAUGAAGGCUCAUGAUAUGAAAUCCAUAACUUAAGAUUCAGGACAAAAUAUAUAUACCUGAAAUCAAACAA
Homo sapiens (human) is the source of this 589-nucleotide long non-coding RNA. The record is from Ensembl. NCBI's taxonomy places the organism in Eukaryota, Metazoa, Chordata, Mammalia, Primates, Hominidae.